CCGGGCACUCUAGCUGAACUGCCGUUGACAAAACGGAGGAAGGUGGGGAUGACGUCAAAUCAUCAUGCCCUUUAUGUCCUGGGCUACACACGUGCUACAAUGGCCUGUACAGAGGGAAGCGAAAGGGUGACCUGGAGCGAAUCCCAAAAAGCAGGUCUCAGUUCGGAUUGCAGGCUGCAACCCGCCUGCAUGAAGUCGGAAUCGCUAGUAAUCGCAGGUCAGCAUACUGUGGUGAAUACGUUCCCGGGCCUU
Molecule: ribosomal RNA, 252 nt
Filed under: uncultured Desulfotomaculum sp.
Lineage: Bacteria; Bacillati; Bacillota; Clostridia; Eubacteriales; Desulfotomaculaceae
Description: partial 16S ribosomal RNA
Rfam family: Bacterial small subunit ribosomal RNA
Source: RNAcentral